AUGAGUAGCAUGUCGUGUUAUACCCUGGCAGAAGGUGGAAGCAUCUUCCCAUCUGGCGACGAACUCGUUGGGAAUCAAAAGACAGAGCAAGGAAAUUACUGGACACAAUGGAAUUCAAGGCUAUCUGAUGAUUUGAACACAACAAGCCUAUACUCAGACGAGCAUGAGAAUGGCAUCGAGCAAUGUUUCGACGACGCCGAUGAACAUGAGAGGAGCAGCCAACAGGAGAGGUCGUCAGCAUGUGCCAGAGUUGCAUCUUCAGAUUGCAGCACAGGGCCUUCAGAAGAACAAUCUGAGGGGCCAGCGCCGUUGGAACUACAACACUGCAAGGAAACAAACGACAUCUUCUUGAGUCAAUUUUCGGAUGAUGAAAUGAGGAUGAUGGAUGCGCCGUUUCAGGCACUUGAUAUGUUCCCUGGCUCCAUGCACAGGCUGUUGUCCUAUGAGAACAUGCUGAGUGGAGUAUUGACUGAUUCUCAAAAUCAAGAAGCAAAUCCGGGUCAUAAUGAAAUGGACACCAUGGAUACUUGCGGCUUUCCUUUGUUCAGCCAUGACUUGCAAAAUGAUCCUAGCAGUGCUGAUGGCAGCUUACAAACACUACUGAGUGCCUCCCAGGACAAGGCUGAGGUGAGCACCAUGAAGAGGAGUAGAUCAGUGGCCGAUAUAGAGAGCUCCUCCAACGGGGAAGUAGCAGUGCUUGAGGAACUUGAAGAUGUCAUGUUUCAGCUGACAAAGAAGACACGUGUAUGCCUCCGUGACGCUUUCUACAGGCUGGCUGAAAGCUCGGAAGUGCAGUGCACUGCUGUAAAUGGAGGGACACUGACGUGCUCAAACGAGCAAAGUUUUCAGCAAUCAGAGGGCACCGAAUCUAGCACCUCGACAUCAGACCGUGCAGAACGGGAGACGAACGCGAUAGACAGAACCGUGGCAAUCCUCGCGUUCAAGCCGGCUUCCUCAGCUGCAUGGGAAUGA
Molecule: ribosomal RNA, 972 nt
Filed under: Triticum aestivum (bread wheat)
Lineage: Eukaryota; Viridiplantae; Streptophyta; Magnoliopsida; Poales; Poaceae
Description: partial small subunit ribosomal RNA
Source: RNAcentral